This 228-nucleotide long non-coding RNA is filed under the name Elaeis guineensis (African oil palm). RNAcentral's name for it is "long non-coding RNA (EGUI_LNC068073)". The record is from RNAcentral. Lineage: Eukaryota; Viridiplantae; Streptophyta; Magnoliopsida; Arecales; Arecaceae.
GCCCAAAACUUAAUUAAGAAUUAAGAAGUUAUUUGAUUAGAUUCUAGGAUUAUGAAUUGAAGAACCUAAGACACAAACCAUAACACAUUGGGUUAAUGGGUUAGCAAGAAUUAGGUCCAUUAUUUGGGUUAGACCUAUGGUUAGAUUAAAGAUGGACUUAAUUAGAGAAUUGACUAAAUCUAAUCAAUUAUUGUCUUAGAUUAGGUCAAGGAUUCUCUAGAUCAAUUA